RNAcentral lists this transfer RNA (74 nucleotides) under Pteropus alecto (black flying fox). It matches the Rfam family "tRNA". From Rfam's summary of the family: Transfer RNA (tRNA) molecules are approximately 80 nucleotides in length. Their secondary structure includes four short double-helical elements and three loops (D, anti-codon, and T loops). Further hydrogen bonds mediate the characteristic L-shaped molecular structure. tRNAs have two regions of fundamental functional importance: the anti-codon, which is responsible for specific mRNA codon recognition, and the 3' end, to which the tRNAs corresponding amino acid is attached (by aminoacyl-tRNA synthetases). tRNAs cope with the degeneracy of the genetic code in two manners: having more than one tRNA (with a specific anti-codon) for a particular amino acid; and 'wobble' base-pairing, i.e. permitting non-standard base-pairing at the 3rd anti-codon position. The record is from Rfam by way of RNAcentral. Lineage: Eukaryota; Metazoa; Chordata; Mammalia; Chiroptera; Pteropodidae.
GGCUCCAUAGUGUAGUGGUUAGUACAUCUGCUUUACACACAGAAGGUCCUGGGUCCACGCCCCAGGUGGAGCCA